RNAcentral lists this long non-coding RNA (1376 nucleotides) under Monodelphis domestica (gray short-tailed opossum). RNAcentral's name for it is "lncRNA (ENSMODG00000033779.1)". The record is from RNAcentral. Lineage: Eukaryota; Metazoa; Chordata; Mammalia; Didelphimorphia; Didelphidae.
GGGUUAUAUAUCUUACUAGAUAGUAAAAUCUCAAGCAAAGGGGGAGCGUUGCAGAGACCAAUACAGGAAUAAUGUCAGUUAAAUAUCUGUAAUACUUUAGUGCUCUCCAAAAGUGGAAUGGCUGAUUGGAAAGGUUUAUUUAUCUUAGAAGUCUUCAAACCAAGAAAACAUGACCACUUGUCAAGCAUGUUGGAAUGAGGGUGUCUUGUCAGAAUGGAUUAGUUCAGAUAGCCACUGAGGUCCCUGCCACAUCUAAAUUCUGCAUUUCUGGGCCUCUGCAAGUAAAUCUAGCUUUCAGCCACCCAUGUUAACUCUUUCUUCCAGGAGAACAGACACCUUAAAUGGCAGAUAUCAUUACUGUUUGAUGCAUUUCAGAAUCAGAGCAUAACUGCAUGACAGCUACAAAUGAAUUCUGUUUUCUUUAAAACACUCACUUGCAUUAUGUUGGUAAGGCUGCCAAGCCCUGUUGUGGGUGGCAGUAAGUACCCAGCACAGCAUGGUGUUACUCUUGUCUCCCCUUGUCGCAGAGGACAAAUUACAGAGACUUCACUAAGCCUCUUAAUGAGAAGACAGUACAACUUGUUAACAGUAAUCUGCCAAAUAAAGGGAUAAACAGCAGCCAUUAUCUAUGAAAAGAAUAUGGCCACAUGUCUUUCCUUUGGAUUGACAGAUUUUAUUGGAGAUGUAUUACCACCCUGAGAGAUGGGCCACUGGGGCUCCACUAGGGAUUCUUAGUUUCAGAGAUUCUUAGAGUUGGAGAGGCAAUAUGAUGGAGCAAAUGGAGUGUUAGACAUUGGAAUUAGGAAAACCUUUAGUCUGCUUCAGACUUGCACUAGCUAUACAGCCCUAAGAAAGUCAGCGUACCAUUCUAAGCCUGUUUUCUCAUAAGUAAGAUAAUGAAUUUGCCUUCAUCGGCUUCUAAAAUCUCUUUUAUUUAAUUAUGAAUCUAUGAUUCUAUGAUGUAUUCAGUCUGGACCAGCGAUGGCAAACCUUUUACCAUGUACCAUGACUUGCCUGCAGAGACUGAGUGCUAUCCUCUGCCCCCACCCAAGUGCCUGCCCAUCCUCCUUACCCCCAGACAGGGGGAAAAUCUGGACCAGGGUAUGCAUCAGUCUCUCAUGUUAUUCCUGUCUGGGACUCCUCAUUUUCUUUGUUACCAUUGUAAAGUCAAUAAACUAUCCUCUCUUGCCUUCAGUCCUCAGUUCCCCUAAAAGGGUAUUUAAGUUUUCCAAUUUUAAUGACUCUUUGAAGAGGUCAACCUAACAUGGCUAGCUCUCCUAGGGGGUCAGUGACCAGAGCAACCAGGGUCCUGGGGACUCUGCAUGGGUUUGUAGUGCACACCUCUGAGUGGAGGCCUAAUAAUACACUCACCCCCU